This 534-nucleotide unclassified non-coding RNA is filed under the name Hepatitis B virus subtype adw2. RNAcentral's name for it is "RNA PRE". The stretch from base 1 to 259 matches the Rfam family "Hepatitis B virus post-transcriptional regulatory element 1151-1410". The record is from RNAcentral. Lineage: Riboviria; Pararnavirae; Artverviricota; Revtraviricetes; Blubervirales; Hepadnaviridae.
UUGCUCGGCAACGGCCUGGUCUGUGCCAAGUGUUUGCUGACGCAACCCCCACUGGCUGGGGCUUGGCCAUAGGCCAUCAGCGCAUGCGUGGAACCUUUGUGGCUCCUCUGCCGAUCCAUACUGCGGAACUCCUAGCCGCUUGUUUUGCUCGCAGCCGGUCUGGGGCAAAGCUCAUCGGAACUGACAAUUCUGUCGUCCUCUCGCGGAAAUAUACAUCGUUUCCAUGGCUGCUAGGUUGUACUGCCAACUGGAUCCUUCGCGGGACGUCCUUUGUUUACGUCCCGUCGGCGCUGAAUCCCGCGGACGACCCCUCUCGGGGCCGCUUGGGACUCUCUCGUCCCCUUCUCCGUCUGCCGUUCCAGCCGACCACGGGGCGCACCUCUCUUUACGCGGUCUCCCCGUCUGUGCCUUCUCAUCUGCCGGUCCGUGUGCACUUCGCUUCACCUCUGCACGUUGCAUGGAGACCACCGUGAACGCCCAUCAGAUCCUGCCCAAGGUCUUACAUAAGAGGACUCUUGGACUCCCAGCAAUGUC